This 345-nucleotide unclassified non-coding RNA is filed under the name soil metagenome. RNAcentral's name for it is "partial contains 5.8S ribosomal RNA, internal transcribed spacer 2, and large subunit ribosomal RNA". The stretch from base 1 to 121 matches the Rfam family "5.8S ribosomal RNA", at positions 35 to 154 of the family's 154-position model. The record is from RNAcentral.
GAUGAAGAACGGAGCGAAAUGCGAUAAGUAAUGCGAAUUGCAGAAUUUCCGUGAGUCAUCGAAUCUUUGAACGCACAUUGCGCCCACUGGUAUUCCGGUGGGCAUGCCUGUUCGAGCGUCAUUAUCCUCCCUCAAACCCCGGGUUUGGUGUUGGACCCAAGUUGUGUGAACAACUGGUCUCAAAGACAAUGACGGCGUCCGUGGGACCCUCGGUGCAACGAGCUUUUAGGAGCACGCAUCGAGUUGCAAGGACCUUCCGGGCCGGUCUCCUUUACCAUUUUACAAGGUUGACCUCGGAUCAGGUAGGAAUACCCGCUGAACUUAAGCAUAUCAAUAAGCGGAGGA